Molecule: ribosomal RNA, 253 nt
Filed under: uncultured bacterium
Lineage: Bacteria
Description: partial 16S ribosomal RNA
Rfam family: Bacterial small subunit ribosomal RNA
Source: RNAcentral
UACGAAGGGGGCUAGCGUUGCUCGGAAUCACUGGGCGUAAAGCGCACGUAGGCGGGUUCUUAAGUCGGAGGUGAAAUCCUGGAGCUUAACUCCAGAACUGCCCCCGAUACUGGGAAUCUAGAGUUCGGGAGAGGUGAGUGGAACUGCGAGUGUAGAGGUGAAAUUCGUAGAUAUUCGCAAGAACACCAGUGGCGAAGGCGGCUCACUGGCCCGAUACUGACGCUGAGGUGCGAAAGCGUGGGGAGCAAACAGG